Long non-coding RNA from Neltuma alba, 97 nucleotides. RefSeq lists it as uncharacterized. The transcript has 3 exons. Lineage: Eukaryota; Viridiplantae; Streptophyta; Magnoliopsida; Fabales; Fabaceae. The record is from RefSeq and is a predicted model, not a curated record.
ACUAAAUUUGGGUGACUCACAGAAGAAAGGAGCUUGAUUUCAUUCAUGACUUGGUCAGCACUAUUGGGGUCUCUCUGAAAAAAGUAAGACAGAGAGA